This 254-nucleotide ribosomal RNA is filed under the name uncultured bacterium. RNAcentral describes it as "partial 16S ribosomal RNA". It matches the Rfam family "Bacterial small subunit ribosomal RNA", at positions 524 to 776 of the family's 1533-position model. The record is from RNAcentral.
UACGUAGGGUGCGAGCGUUUGUCCGGAAUUAUUGGGCGUAAAGAGCUCGUAGGCGGUCUGUCGCGUCGGUCGUGAAAACCUGCAGCUUAACCGUGGGCUUGCAGCCGAUACGGGCAGGCUAGAGUUCGGUAGGGGAGACUGGAAUUCCUGGUGUAGCGGUGGAAUGCGCAGAUAUCAGGAGGAACACCAGUGGCGAAGGCGGUGCUCUGGGCCGGAACUGACGCUGAGGAGCGAAAGCGUGGGGAGCAAACAGG